ACGUGGAAAUUAUUUUUAAAAAACUGCCGUUCAAACCGAAAAGAUCGUAAUUAAUUCAAUUUUACUUUACAUUGUUUAAUCUUUCUUGAUCUUAGCGACUUUGUUUUUAUAUCUGAGUAAAUGAUUAAAUUUUUUAAUGAAUUUCUUCUACUGAAUAAUAUCCUCUUGAUAUUCUAACCCUAACAAAAAUGUGUCAAUAACAUAAAUAUUGUAUCUGAAAUAUCGUAUCCUUCUUAAUAUUACAUAACGAAACAGCGGCUACAGUCUUACAGUCAGCUUCACUUCUUCCGUGUGAUAAACCAGGAAUAUCUAAUUAAGCUCUUAUGUCGCAUUAAUUGGUUAAAACCAUUUGUAGACCUCAAUCUAACAAUGAAAUCAUUUCUUCGGAAAAAAAAAUACCAGAUGACGUUGCCAUGAAAGAUGCAUCAUCAAUAUAUAUCGUCAUUUACAACUAAAGGAAGAUGUUAUGCAGAAGAGUUUCAACACACUGUUUCUAUGAAUUUAUCUUUGAGUUACUGAGAGUUGCUUCUUCUGAGCGAGACAUUUCUCUUUCAUCUC
Long non-coding RNA from Octopus sinensis (East Asian common octopus), 558 nucleotides. RefSeq lists it as uncharacterized. NCBI's taxonomy places the organism in Eukaryota, Metazoa, Mollusca, Cephalopoda, Octopoda, Octopodidae. The transcript is spliced from 2 exons. The record is from RefSeq and is a predicted model, not a curated record.